Molecule: transfer RNA, 72 nt
Filed under: Acidimicrobiales bacterium
Lineage: Bacteria; Bacillati; Actinomycetota; Acidimicrobiia; Acidimicrobiales
Description: tRNA-Gly
Rfam family: tRNA
About the family: Transfer RNA (tRNA) molecules are approximately 80 nucleotides in length. Their secondary structure includes four short double-helical elements and three loops (D, anti-codon, and T loops).
Source: RNAcentral
GCGGGUGUAGUUCAACGGCUAGAACCACAGGUUUCCAACCUGUUAAUGGGGGUUCGAUUCCCCCCACCCGCU